AGGAUAAACGCUGGCGGCAGGCCUAACACAUGCAAGUCGAGCGCCCGUAGCAAUACGGGAGCGGCAGACGGGAUAGUAACACGUGGGAACGCGCCCUUCGGUUCGGAAUAACUCAGGGAAACUUGAGCUAAUACCGAAUACGCCCUUACGGGGAAAGAUUUAUUGCCGAAGGAACGGCCCGCGUCCGAUUAGCUAGUUGGUGAGGUAAUGGCUCACCAAGGCUACGAUCGGUAGCUGGUCUGAGAGGAUGACCAGCAUCACUGGGACUGAGACACGGCCCAGACUCCUACGGGAGGCAGCAGUGGGGAAUAUUGCGCAAUGGGCGAAAGCCUGACGCAGCGACGCCGCGUGAGGGAUGAAGGCCUUCGGGUUGUAAACCUCUUUCAGCAGGGACGAAGCGAAAGUGACGGUACCUGCAGAAGAAGCACCGGCUAACUACGUGCCAGCAGCCGC
RNAcentral lists this ribosomal RNA (453 nucleotides) under uncultured bacterium. Its description in RNAcentral is "SSU rRNA". It matches the Rfam family "Bacterial small subunit ribosomal RNA", at positions 26 to 518 of the family's 1533-position model. The record is from RNAcentral.